Phragmites australis (common reed) is the source of this 7599-nucleotide long non-coding RNA. RefSeq lists it as uncharacterized. NCBI's taxonomy places the organism in Eukaryota, Viridiplantae, Streptophyta, Magnoliopsida, Poales, Poaceae. The transcript is spliced from 7 exons. The record is from RefSeq and is a predicted model, not a curated record.
AAAAAAAAAAACCCAUCUCCACCACCGCCUCCACUCCGCGUGCCAUCGCCACCACCACCGCCACCGCUGAGGGCAGAGUGAUGGCGUCGACGGUAGUACCCGAUGAGGCGCAGGAGGCACCGAACCGGCGUGUGAUCCUGAAGCGCUACGUGACAGGGCUCCCCACGGAGAACGACAUGGAAUUUGUUUCCGGCGCCGUGCUCCUGGCCGUGCCGCUGGGGUCGGCGACGGUGGUGCCCGACGAUUGGUAGACGUUCCACUCCUUCCCAAUUCCUCAAUUCCCAAUUCACUUCGCUCCCAACCCAACCCUACCCCGAUGGGUCCGCCGUCGACCAGGGAGGAGCCCGCCGCCAAUGACCCGGAGACCUCCCGAUCGGAACAGGGAGCAGGAUGAGGCGACCAAACGUCUACGGCGCAGGCUGCUCCGCCGCCUCUACGCCAGCAGCUCAUGGGGGCCUACCGCGCUGACAAGCGCCUCAGGCUGCUCCUCACCCUCAACGUAUCCUACGCCGCCGCUGAGAACCGAUUCAUCUCCCACCUCUCCUCCCGGCUUACCUAGGUCAUUUGGUCGUCUUUGCAGCACUUCGAGGCGUCGGAGGUGGGCAUGCUCGCUAGAGGCACGGCGCCCUUCUCUGUGCCCAACAGCCAUUAGGUUGAAUCACUGGGGACAGUAGUGCUGAUUUCUGAUUUGAUCCAAUCGGUUUCGUCCCUUUUUUGCUCCUUGCAUCUAGCAGAUUUGGCAUGAAAGGCGCGAGGGGUGGAGGGCUUUGUGUCGUGGUAGAGUUCGAGCCAGCGAAUUCAGCAGUGCGCAGAUCAUUCCUCAAUUUCAAAGGUUUGCUUAAAACUGCUCCUUGCUUGCACAGAUGCAUUUCCGUUUGGAUGUUAUUCUCUUGCGGCCAGGGCCCAAGCAAACUGAAGCGGCCCCUCCUUCCUCACAGCUCCGCCUUUCCAUCUGCACGUGUGUUAGAAUUUCUAUUGGUAAAUGACUAUUAACUUUCUCCAAUUGAUGUGUAAAUUUGUGAAUUUAAGUCAGGUUCUUUUCCUAUAUAAUGCAGCCAUGUCAAACCACAAAUAUUUCAUAACAUUUUCACAUGCAUGCCAUGUGUUUGAUGAAAUGUUUGAGUGAUAUAAUACUACUGGAUGGCAAGUAUUAACUUUGAGGGUGUGAAAAUGGGGAGCUUUUGGGAUGCGCAGCGCUAACUGCAGCCUGUCUACAUAUUAGGGAUAUUUCAAUGUAUUGUUGCAGUGUUCUAAUUUGACAAGUGAUAAAAAGAGGAUAAGUGGUGGUGCUAGCUCAACUGCACAAUCUGGUGAAACAUCAAAGAGCACAGGUGAAACAGCCUCAGGUACAGGGGACCGAAUAUAUCUAUUAUGGCCUUUUGUAUACCUUGGGCAAGUGAUAAAAAACGGCUCCCGCUUAAAAUGGCAAGUGAUAAUAACUUUAAAAAUAACAGUAGGUUCCCAAUUGCACCAAGUAAGUUCAAGAAUUUUACAAGAAUGUUGAGCCAAGAUGGAAGAACAAACAACUUCAAUAUAUCUACAUUGGGAAGCAUAGCUCAGUCAUAUCCUGCAAAGCUGAAUGUAAGUAUCAGGGAAUGUCAAUUGAUCUGGUCUCAGCAUCGGUCUCUUUAUGCUGUAUUUUCCAAUCUAUCUACAAUUCAUCACAUUCUUGUAAGCUUCAUUUCACCAAUUAAAUUAUCUUUGAUUUAGUUUUCAAUAUAUACCCCUCAUGUCAGACCGUGCAGUAGUGUGAGCAGUUGCUACCGUUCAUUCCCUGCUUGCCUUGAUAUAUUGGGCUUUAAUCGAGGUGGGCAACUAUUUUCUGAAAAAUAGAAGCCACAGUACAGUUUGGAUUGAUAGCGAAGGUGAUGAUAGUAGGGAACACAAGGAAAAAUUUAGGUGUCAAGAGUCUUUCUGCUAAGGUUGUCAUCGUGUCAUUUUGGGAUAGAGCGAUGGAAAUGAAUAUGUAUUGCACGGGCAAAAUGAGAGGGAUGAAAGGAAGAUUCUCAGCGCUCUGAAAUAUGAAGUAGUAUUUUUCCUUUCCAGUUUUCCAAUUUUUCAUCCUUAGUGCAUUUCUAUUCUAUAAAAAAUACAUAUUCGUCCAAUGAUGCUGACGGUUUGGCUAUGGAAGACACUAAUUGUUGUUGUCAUCAUGCAGCUUAGGGUUGCUUUCCCAGUUGCGGUACUUUUCUCUUCACUGGCUCCACUACACCACGGUAGAGAAUUAGAGGCAGAUUUUAGAGGAAAACAAAUUUGCCUUGUUUGCCUCAAAAAAACCCUUGAGGCAGAUCUAUUAGCCUCAAAAUAUUAUGGUGAGGCUGACAAUGUUUGCCUUAGUAUAUCUUUGACUUGAUGCUCUUCUGAGGCAGCCUCAAGUACUCUUUUGAGGCAGAUAAUACACGUCCUUUUUUUAUUUCCUCGCACUCCUCUUUUAGCUCAUUUCAUUUCUCGCUUAGAAAAAUUAGGCAUGGAGUGAAGUUCAUGAGAAAAUAUUCGCGAGAAACAAGCAUGCACAGGUGGUGAUAGAAAUUAUCCUCUUGCUUCCUCACCCUCAACCUUAUCUUUUUACAUGAAAACACCUUGCUUGUCCACUCAUCUGAGGCUGCUAGCCUGCUGCCCACACCCAAGACACCACCUCCACCUCCAAUCUCCAGCAAUCCAGUGCUGCUGCUCCCAGGCCACCAUCUCUUCCACCCAUCUACACUGCUGCCCCAAAGCCCACCAUCUCCUCCACCCAUCCAUGCUGCUGCUCACCCAAACCAGUAAUCCUCUAUCCCUACGAUCCAGUUUUGCUACCCCCAUCUAUCUCAUGCCUCCUCCUUCAGUUCCCCACCAUAACUUCUAGAUCCACCAAUUGCAGAAAGCUCUAAGGAUGCCUCUAGCAAGAUCCAAGGCCGACCAACACCUUCUUCCACCUCCUCCCCUAUCUCUCGCCACCAGAUCUCCAAAAGCAACCAACCACCCUAGCAUCGAUUGGUUUAUUGCUGCGAGUGAUUGGACUUGGAAGAUUGAUGUGCAACUGGUUUCUACAUAGAUAUUCUAAGUGUCAUGUUCUGAAGUUCUUGCUGCUUCUAAAAUUGCAUGUGCAACAGCAACCUUCCACCUAUACAAAAGAAAGCACCGUGAAUAUAUUUCAUUGAGCGGGUUACGAAGACCAAGAGAUAUUGAAUGUGUACACCAUGAGACGUUCCAUGACUCGUUUAAGAGACAUAUAAGGGAUAUUACCUUUGUAGAAACUUUGUAAACAUUUUGGUUCCAUAGCAUUAAAUCUAUUGUGCCAAUAAUAGAUCCAUGAUUUAUUGUCCAAAGGAGCAGUUCUAUUUCAAGAAAUUCAGACUUCGGCAAAAGGUCCUGAUAUGCAUGUGAUUGCAUACACCAACUAUCUUAUAAAUGGAUAUAAGUUUCGCACAAAGUUGUGUGAUGAAAGGAAAUCAAUUCAAAGUAGUGGGUUGGUUGUUGUUCCUGAGAUUUGUAGUUUCUCUAGCGUGAAGGAUCAAAACCCUGUCAUAUUCAGUGCUGCAUAUUAUGGUAGCAUUACAGACAUAAUUGAAUUAAAUUACAGUGGGAAAGGAAGAAUUGUGUUAUUCAAAUAUGAUUGGAUCAAUCUUUCACGGGACAGAGGUGUUAAGAAAGAUAAAUAUUGGGUUACACUUGCGAAAUUCAACUACUUAUAUAAUAAUACAAAUAGUUUGAUUGAUGAACCUUUCAUCUUAGCAUCACAAGCUACAUAGGUGUAUUAUGUUCGAGAUCCUAUAGAUCAUGAUUGGCAUGCGGUUGUACAAUCAAAACCAAGGGACUUCUAUGAUAUGGGUAUGAAAGAUUGUGAAAAUGAAGAGGACUUAUAUCAGCAAAAAGACCAAACACGUGAGCUGAACAUAAAUGUUGACAUUGGUGUUGAUUGUGUCAAUGAUUGUCUCACUAGGAAAGACAAAUGGAGUAACUAUUGAUUUGACUAUUGGGUGUCAGCGGUAUGGUUGAAUACUUAUGAUGCCCUACUUUUAUAUAUUUUUUAGUUUUGUUGAUUCAAUUGUGUGUCCUUAUUUUAGUGUCUUAAUUCAUUAUUCAUUCUUGUUAAAGUAGGAAAAACAAUGGAAUAGGCACAAAGAAGAGAAGAAAUGCCGCUAGAAAAUUAUUACGAGCUUGUACGUAGGAGGCGUAUAGAUGAAAAUAGUGAAGUUCUUAAAAAACACCGGCUGGCUGAAAUUGCAGCAGAGUUAUCAAGGAAGCCAAAAUGAGUGAAGCAUGUUGUACCAAAUGAGCCAGGUCAACUUGUACACAAUGAGGAAGAUGAGUUGAACCUAUCAGAUGAGGAAGAUGAUCCUGUGUACUGUGAGGAAGAUGAGGAGAACUCAUCAAAUCAAUAAGAUGAGUUGAACCCAUUAAUUGAGGAAGAUGAUCUCAAAAUAAGUCAUGAAUAUAAUGAUCGUGAAGAAGUGUUAGCAGCACUAAAAAGAAGAAGGGGCUGCACAAGGAUGGGGUCUUUCUAGCCAGAUGAUGAUGAAAUCCAUGAGAAGAUAAAAAUUGAUUACAACAACUACUUUUAACCUAUUGGUGCCAAAGUGCCAAAGUUAUCAAAUCUAAUUGGUACACUUGUGAAAGGAAAAGUUCUCUCUAUGGCUUAUGACAAUUCGACUAGUGUAAAGUAUAAGGAAGAUGUUUGGAUUGGUGUCAAGGUAUAAUUCUCUACAUCAGUAUUUUCUAUAUUUCUAUAAUAUUAGGACAUGCGGUUCUAUGUCAAAGUUUAAAGAUAAUCACAUCUUUGUUUCUUUAGAGGUAUUUUGACCUAGAUGAAUGUUUGAAGGAUCAUGUCAUGAAAUCAGCUCACAAGAAAUGAAAGGACUUCAAAAAUAGACUAAAGACUAAGUACUUUGAUCUUGAGUUGAGUGAUCAUGAGCUCCUGCUGAAACGUGAUUCAAGAGUUUCAGAACCUGAUUGGAAGUGGCUAAUUGCUUUUUGGAGAACUAAUAAAAGCCAAAUAAGUAUACAUAAAAAAUGAAGGAUAUUUCAUUUAUUGUUCUAAUUUUAAUACAUGCUAUUGAUAUAACUUAUGUUUGAUUGCUAGGCACGCAGUGAGCGUGGGAAAGCAAAUCGUGCAAAAAUGACUGCAGUACAUACCAUAGGUACACCAAGCUUAGCAAAUGUUCACCAUAACCUGGUUAGACUUAAAACUUUAGUUGAGUUUAUUGUUUGACCAGAAAUAAUUCUUUUUAUAUUCAUCCGAUGAUAGGAGAAAAAGAAGGGGAGAAAGGUUAGACGUGCAAAAGUUUAUAAAGUUGUUUAUACUCGUAAGGACAGCACACCACAACUCGCCUGUGAACAAACACUUGUAAGAAAAAUUAUUUCACCAUCAUGAAAAGGGACAUAUCAAGUUACUCUAACUGUAAUGGCCUCUAUUUUUUUUAUUGGGUAGGCUCAAAUAGGUGAAAAAUACAGACAGGAACCAGACUUUGUAGAUAAUCCUUUAUAGGAAGGAGACUUUCUUAGUGCAUUUAUUGGAAAGGAAAAUAGAGGAGGAGUUACUGGUAUAGGUACGGGCCCUACACCUUCCAGCCUUCACAUGGCAAGAACUAAACCAUCAGCAGCUACAAGUCUACAAUUAGAAAGAGAGGGAAGGCACAAGGCAGAAAAGGAAAAUCAGGUUUUGAAGGAGGGAUUGCAGUAGCUAGAAGAAUAAAUGGAAGAACGAAUAUAGCAACUAAUUGCUGAGAGAUUCACAAAAUUUAAAGCUCUGAUGACUCCUUCUCCAUCAGAGAAUGGAAGCAUGCCAAUUGAGAAGCGAACAAACUCAUCAGCUUCAAAUAACAUAGAAGUAAAUACUUUAAACUGUAUUUUACUUUAAAUGCUUUAUGAUAUAUACGUUAAUGCUACUCUUAGAUUAUACUCAUUUAUCUUAAUAUAGCUACAACCAAGAACUGUUCCAGUAUCAAAACAUCAUCAGGUCAGAUCAAAUGAACCCUUCUCUUUUUUAUUCAAAUGUUACAUAAGCUUUAAACUUGUAAGAUUCAAUGAGAAGGAUUGUUAAUCCAAGGCAUAAUGCGCAACGGAUGGUACAAAAGAAUGUGAGGUAUCAUAACCGCAAGAUGCCUACAAGGAUUGGUGGAGAGCAUCCUACAAAAGGUACAACAAGCUCCAAAGGACAUAAACACUCUAAAACCUAUGCUGCAACAACACAUGUUGAGGUAUGCUCAAUAUUCUUAAUCUAAUUAAGAGCAGAAUUGGAGUGUCCAACUUCCAAAGUUGUUUACCUUAGCUUUGGUUUUCACUUGCUAGUCUACCUGUACACAUCUAAAUAUUUUAAGUUAUAUGCAAUAUAUGCCUGGAAUUUUAUGUGAUCAUUUUAAUUUCAGGUGCCUAAAGAUAUGCAGCCAGCUGGUGGUAAGUUAGUAUAUCAGGUAUAUUAUGAUACAAUAUAAAUGGUGUACUAAAUUUAUUCCUUGAUUUCUUAGCAUUUGUAGAAGAAAUGUUAUGUGGAUUUUUCAAUUGCUUCAUGCAGAUAAGAUAUAUGUGUAUAUUAUCUACCUAUAAAUGAAAUUUGCAUUGUUAACAUGCUACAGCCAGCCUUAUUUAUAAUUUCAGUGCUUGAAAAAUUCUAAAUAAAUUGUUAUCAUGCACUGAUUAUUCAUAAGAUGGAAAAGAAGUCAAUAUCACCAGCAAUGUGCACCACGGUAUACAAAUGGACUAGAUUAAUCAAAUUUACAGCAAAGCAGCAAAGAUUGGUGGAGAGUUCUUUUGGGAGCUAUGACAAGUACUAAGGGAACUACUAGACAAUCUAAAGUUAUAAUUAGAACAACAGAUGGAACUAUUCAGGUUUGUUUGUGUGAUGUGUCAUUUUGAUAAACUAUGUUCGCAUUCCUUCAUACACUCCAGAGCUCUUGGUUAAUAUGAUUUUUUGCAAAGUCAAGUCAUAGACUUUCUGAAACCUAAUUUGUUCACAUAACAAAUAGGUUGGAAAGGAGGUGUUUCUUUAGGGGACCACUCGGCCUUAUAGUCGUGCUACAAAAGCAACUGUCGAGGGCAAAGACCCAUUAGAGAUGGUUGGAGGUGUAAAGCUUGGUAGUCAAUGCUACAAAGUUGUAAUAUAUAGUGCACUAUGUUGAGAUGCUGAAUUGUUCUGCCCACACAAAAAUAUGAAGCAUAUUGGUGAUGCUAUUGGUCAUUCCAUUCCAUGGCCUUCCUAGUUGGUAUAUUUUUGUAGUUUUCUUCUUUUUAUUUGUUAUAUUUUCUUGUUUCAUAUAAGUUCUAAAAGGCUAACUAAACAUUUUCAGGUUCAAGAAGUUUCACCAAAGCUAUCUGGUUAAGUCAUAAAGAUAGGUGGUCAACUUUAUCUAGCAAAAGAUGUCUAAGAUGUAUGAUGCGAUUGUUGCAAUGCUUCCGUUGGAUACAACUUUUGUAUACAUGAUUGACAAUGUCAUAUUUAGUGUAUAGAUGAUGAUAUGUUAAACUCUAAAUGCUUCCUUUUGUGGUUAUAUGAUUGGUUUAGGGCACAAUCUAGGGCAUGUGUGGAUGAUCACUUUAUGAUACAUCUUUUGUGAAUGGAUUAUCAAUGUAUAUCACACCUUAUUAUGCAUGGAUGGUAUAUGGAACCAUUUCUAUUAUUCA